RNAcentral lists this ribosomal RNA (510 nucleotides) under uncultured bacterium. Its description in RNAcentral is "bacterial SSU rRNA". It matches the Rfam family "Bacterial small subunit ribosomal RNA", at positions 32 to 517 of the family's 1533-position model. The record is from RNAcentral.
AAUCAACGCUGGCGGCGUGCCUCAGACAUGCAAGUCGAACGCGAAAGCUCCCUUCGGGGAGCAAGUAGAGUGGCGCACGGGUGAGUAACACGUAGGUAAUCUACCUUUGGAUGGGGAAUAACAACCGGAAACGGUUGCUAAUACCGCAUAAUGCAGCGGCACCUAAUGGUGACAGUUGUUAAAGCGGAGGAUCGAAAGACCUCGCGUCUGAAGAGGAGCCUGCGGCGGAUUAGCUAGUUGGUAAGGUAACGGCUUACCAAGGCGAUGAUCCGUAGCCGGCCUGAGAGGGCGGUCGGCCACACUGACACUGACAUACGGGUCAGACUCCUACGGGAGGCAGCAGUCGGGAAUUUUGGGCAAUGGGCGAAAGCCUGACCCAGCAACGCCGCGUGAAGGAUGAAAUCCCUCGGGAUGUAAACUUCGCAAGAACGGGAAGAAUAAGCCGGUGUCAACACCACCGGCGAUGACGGUACUGUUUGUAAGCUCCGGCUAACUCCGUGCCAGCAGCCC